This 576-nucleotide ribosomal RNA is filed under the name Triticum aestivum (bread wheat). Its description in RNAcentral is "partial small subunit ribosomal RNA". The record is from RNAcentral. Lineage: Eukaryota; Viridiplantae; Streptophyta; Magnoliopsida; Poales; Poaceae.
AUGGAUGAGUCUACGAUUGGGAGAAUUAGACGUAGAGUGCCUAUGCUUGACGGAGAGUUCUUUAUUGCUUGGAAAAAUGAGAUGCUUGAGAUUUUCAAUGAAUAUCACUUGAACAAGUACAUUACUACCCCUUGUGUGCCCCUUGUUGACCCCUUGCAUCCUACCCCUGAUGAUUCCCUUGAUAUGAUUCGCAAACUUAGAACUAUCAAUCUUAUCACUAGAGGAUUACCUAGAAACUUGAUUGCUCGCUUGCCAACUCUUGAAUGUUCUUACACUAUAUGGAGAUUUCUUGAGGAAAGAUUUCCAGACUAUUCCUUAAAAAACUUAGAUGAGAUUCUUCACAAGUCUAUUGCUUUGAAUAAGAUGAAUCCCAAUGACCCUAAGUUUGGUGAUUGUCUAUUUGAGCUUCGUGACCUUAUGCGUGCCAAAGGAGAUGUUGGAAUCAUUAGCAAUAUCAUUUCUGAAGUCAUUAGAAUUGAUAGAGAUGCAAAUUGUCAUGAUCACAAAACUAAUGAAUCACUCUCUCUUGGAAAUGAUCAAUCACAAGAUGAUGUUGAACAUGGAUACUAUGUUUAG